GGAUCGAUGAUGACAACAUGUCUCUGAGGACGCUGAUUGACCUGACCUAUGCCACUCUGAGCUCC
Mesocricetus auratus (golden hamster) is the source of this 65-nucleotide non-coding RNA. The record is from Rfam. Lineage: Eukaryota; Metazoa; Chordata; Mammalia; Rodentia; Cricetidae.